This 73-nucleotide transfer RNA is filed under the name Acinetobacter phage ZZ1. It matches the Rfam family "tRNA". Rfam says of the family: Transfer RNA (tRNA) molecules are approximately 80 nucleotides in length. Their secondary structure includes four short double-helical elements and three loops (D, anti-codon, and T loops). Further hydrogen bonds mediate the characteristic L-shaped molecular structure. tRNAs have two regions of fundamental functional importance: the anti-codon, which is responsible for specific mRNA codon recognition, and the 3' end, to which the tRNAs corresponding amino acid is attached (by aminoacyl-tRNA synthetases). tRNAs cope with the degeneracy of the genetic code in two manners: having more than one tRNA (with a specific anti-codon) for a particular amino acid; and 'wobble' base-pairing, i.e. permitting non-standard base-pairing at the 3rd anti-codon position. The record is from Rfam by way of RNAcentral. Lineage: Duplodnaviria; Heunggongvirae; Uroviricota; Caudoviricetes; Pantevenvirales; Straboviridae.
GCCGUCAUAGCUCAGUUGGUAGAGCGUCUGUUUUGUAAUCAGAGGGUCCGGGGUUCAAAUCCUCGUGUCGGCA